Long non-coding RNA from Coregonus clupeaformis (lake whitefish), 251 nucleotides. RefSeq lists it as uncharacterized. NCBI's taxonomy places the organism in Eukaryota, Metazoa, Chordata, Actinopteri, Salmoniformes, Salmonidae. The record is from RefSeq and is a predicted model, not a curated record. The transcript has 2 exons.
UCUUCUUAUCAUCACAAGCAUGGACCAGCAAAGGUGUUUCUUUUAGGCACUACAUUAAUGGCGACGAGAUUGUUUUCUUUGGGACGUGCUACGUCUCUUCUUUGCAUUCCAUUCCUGGGCUACAAAACGACUACCGCUCAAAGAAGCCGGCAAAAAUAAGAGACGAGAAGGAGGAGACAGAGAGAGAGAGAGAAAGAGGAGGGGCUGACAUCAACUGACACCAGUGACGGCAACCCUGUCCAAAUCAAGGC